CGCACGCCGGCCCGUGGCGCCCCGCGAGAGCAGCCCCAGCGGGCCGCGACCCGUGUGUGCUCUCAUCCGUAAGGACUGCAAGACACCGAGAGGACCUUCCCUCGUCCCUGGGAGGCAGACGCGGACGCGGGAGACGUUGAAGCCCACCGACGCACACGCACGCUUCCGCCCCGAUCCCCGGAAGAUUUCACGGGGUCUUGAAACCGCGAGAGGACAAAGGAAGCGGUGAAUGAACAUUCCGAUGACUCCUGCAGGAGUGACAGAGGUGGUGGCUGUCCUUGCGAGGCAGAUGCUUUACGCCAAGAAGAGGGAAGCACUUUUUUAUUCGCACGCCCUUCUCCGGUGACGAGCAGCUAACACUAUAAGCUUUGUCUGGGGACAUCUGUGAAAUGCCGUGACAAAUGCGUCCCCGCGCCCCCGAGAGCUGUCCGAAAAUACAGCCCGAUGAGGUCGGACCCUGGCCAUGAGAGCAGCUCCCUGCAGCUCCGCCCCUCCCGAAAUAAGACUGAGCAGUUUAUCUUGGAAUUGCUGAGAUGUCUUACUUUCAGAACAUUUGAAUUACAUAUUACUCAUUGUCCAGGGGUAAUUUUUGUGGUGUGGGAGUUUUAACUUACUUAUUUAGAAUAUAGCAAACAAAGUCUGUAUUAAAACCGUAUUUGUAACUGCCCACAAAGACUGGACAACCACAUUCUAAAAUCAUUAGCAAUGUUACUCGGCUUACAGAGUCGUGUCUCUCUCAUAUUUUUAAGGCAAAAAUCUUUCAUUCACUUGGAAAGGAAAAUGCUUGUUAUUGUCUCUCUAGGCUUUGCAAUUCAUGUUUCCUUCCUGUAUAGAUUUAGCUAAAGAUACAACACAUUUGAUUUUUAAGGAAUAAUAAAAAUAUGACACUUGCAAGUUUUUAAACUUGGGCUUGUUUACAAAGGUUUUCAAUGUUUUGCAAUAUAGUGUUUCUGCUGUAUCCAGUCUGAACA
Long non-coding RNA from Phyllostomus hastatus (greater spear-nosed bat), 971 nucleotides. RefSeq lists it as uncharacterized. Lineage: Eukaryota; Metazoa; Chordata; Mammalia; Chiroptera; Phyllostomidae. The transcript has 3 exons. The record is from RefSeq and is a predicted model, not a curated record.